GGAGAUUCAUAGCUCAGUGCCAGUGCAUCUGAUUUGCAUGCAGAAGGUGCUAGGUUCAAUCCCUGGGAUCUCCA
This is a non-coding RNA of Podarcis lilfordi (Lilford's wall lizard), 74 nucleotides long. The record is from the annotation of a GenBank genome assembly. Lineage: Eukaryota; Metazoa; Chordata; Lepidosauria; Squamata; Lacertidae.